This 301-nucleotide ribosomal RNA is filed under the name uncultured bacterium. RNAcentral's name for it is "partial 16S ribosomal RNA". It matches the Rfam family "Bacterial small subunit ribosomal RNA", at positions 509 to 808 of the family's 1533-position model. The record is from RNAcentral.
CAGUCGCCGCGGUAAUACAGAGGGUGCGAGCGUUAAUCGGAUUUACUGGGCGUAAAGCGUGCGUAGGCGGCUUCUUAAGUCGGAUGUGAAAUCCCUGAGCUUAACUUAGGAAUUGCAUUCGAUACUGGGAAGCUAGAGUAUGGGAGAGGAUGGUAGAAUUCCAGGUGUAGCGGUGAAAUGCGUAGAGAUCUGGAGGAAUACCGAUGGCGAAGGCAGCCAUCUGGCCUAAUACUGACGCUGAGGUACGAAAGCAUGGGGAGCAAACAGGAUUAGAUACCCGAGUAGUCCCUGUCUCUAUACA